RNAcentral lists this ribosomal RNA (229 nucleotides) under uncultured bacterium. RNAcentral's name for it is "partial 16S ribosomal RNA". It matches the Rfam family "Bacterial small subunit ribosomal RNA", at positions 568 to 796 of the family's 1533-position model. The record is from RNAcentral.
UGCGUAGGCGGGCUAAUAAGUCAGUGGUGAAAUCUUCCGGCUCAACCGGGAACCUGCCAUUGAUACUGUUAGUCUUGAGUACGGCUGAGGUAGGCGGAAUGUGUAAUGUAGCGGUGAAAUGCUUAGAUAUUACACAGAACACCAAUUGCGUAGGCAGCUUACUAGACCGUAACUGACGCUGAGGCACGAAAGCGUGGGGAGCGAACAGGAUUAGAUACCCUGGUAGUCC